RNAcentral lists this ribosomal RNA (253 nucleotides) under uncultured bacterium. RNAcentral describes it as "partial 16S ribosomal RNA". It matches the Rfam family "Bacterial small subunit ribosomal RNA", at positions 524 to 776 of the family's 1533-position model. The record is from RNAcentral.
UACGGAGGGUGCAAGCGUUAUCCGGAUUUACUGGGUUUAAAGGGUGCGUAGGUGGGCCUGUAAGUCAGUGGUGAAAUCUUCAAGCUUAACUUGGAAACUGCCAUUGAUACUAUAGGUCUUGAAUUAUCUGGAGGUAAGCGGAAUAUGUCAUGUAGCGGUGAAAUGCUUAGAGAUGACAUAGAACAUCGAUUGCGAAGGCAGCUCGCUACACUAUGAUUGACACUGAGGCACGAAAGCGUGGGGAUCAAACAGG